CCUACGGGAGGCUGCAGUGGGGAAUAUUGGACAAUGGGCGAAAGCCUGAUCCAGCCAUGCCGCGUGUGUGAAGAAGGCCUUCGGGUUGUAAAGCACUUUCAGUGGGGAAGAAAGCCUUGGGGCUAAUACCCUCGAGGAAGGACAUCACCCACAGAAGAAGCACCGGCUAACUCCGUGCCAGCAGCCGCGGUAAUACGGAGGGUGCGAGCGUUAAUCGGAAUUACUGGGCGUAAAGCGCGCGUAGGCGGUCUGAUAAGCCGGUUGUGAAAGCCCCGGGCUCAACCUGGGAACGGCAUCCGGAACUGUCAGGCUGGAGUGCAGGAGAGGAAGGUAGAAUUCCCGGUGUAGCGGUGAAAUGCGUAGAGAUCGGGAGGAAUACCAGUGGCGAAGGCGGCCUUCUGGACUGACACUGACGCUGAGGUGCGAAAGCGUGGGUAGCAAACAGGAUUAGAUACCCUUGUAGUC
RNAcentral lists this ribosomal RNA (465 nucleotides) under Vreelandella stevensii. RNAcentral describes it as "partial 16S ribosomal RNA". It matches the Rfam family "Bacterial small subunit ribosomal RNA", at positions 338 to 795 of the family's 1533-position model. The record is from RNAcentral. Lineage: Bacteria; Pseudomonadati; Pseudomonadota; Gammaproteobacteria; Oceanospirillales; Halomonadaceae.